UAAGUUGCUGUUAACAAGCAAUCCCCCCAAAAUGAUACAGGUAAACUAGACUGGAAAAGAAGGGCUCUACAAGUUUCAAGUAAAGAUAUGUGUUUUAUUUCAACAACCCCAUUCUGUUGAGGGGAAUGAAGGCAAGUGGUUUGAUGUACAAUCCCCAGCUCACUGAAAAAGGAAAUCCCUUCUGAACUGGAACCCAGUUCCAGGGCAUUAUCACUCCUGACAAUCUGGACCAUGGAGUGGAACUGAGUUUGAACAUAGGAGAUAAAAGAUUUAAGUAAAGGGAAGGCAUUACUUUUAGAUCCUAUCAAAUGUGUCCAGGUGGCCCUAGAAAAAUCAUCAACUAUGGUGAGAAAGUAUUUACUGCCAAAGGAAGUAGAAGUAUGGUAAGGACCCCAAGUAUCUAGGUGGCCCUAGAAAAAUCAUCAACUAUGGUGAGAAAGUAUUUACUGCCAAAGGAAGUAGAAGUAUGAUAAGGACCCCAAGUAUCUACAUGUAUACGUUGAAAGGGUCUAGUAGUGCUAAUACUGCUAUCAGGGAAAGGCAAUCUAGUUUGUUUUGCCAUAGGACAAAUAGAACAAGGAAAAGGUUGUUUAGCAGCAAAGGGAAAAGAUAAACUAGAAAUAUAUUUCAUAUUAGCAAAAGAAGUAUGUGCUAAUCCCAAAUGCCAUAUGUAAUUCAUAUCAAAAGUAGCAGCAUUAUUACAACUGGAAGUGUGUACAAUNNNN
Molecule: long non-coding RNA, 725 nt
Filed under: Nicotiana benthamiana
Lineage: Eukaryota; Viridiplantae; Streptophyta; Magnoliopsida; Solanales; Solanaceae
Description: long non-coding RNA (NBEN_LNC041151)
Source: RNAcentral